Molecule: ribosomal RNA, 556 nt
Filed under: uncultured organism
Description: bacterial SSU rRNA
Rfam family: Bacterial small subunit ribosomal RNA
Source: RNAcentral
GAGUAAAGAUUUCGGUCGCUUUGGGAGGAGCUCGCUUACUAUCAGCUUGUUGGUAGGGUAAUGGCCUACCAAGGCUAUGACGGUUAGGGGGUGUGAGAGCAUGACCCCCAGCAUUGGCACUGAAACACUGGCCAAACACCUACGGGUGGCUGCAGUCGAGAAUCUUCCACAAUGGGGGAAACCCUGAUGGGGCGAUGCUGCGUGCGGGAUGAAGGCCUUCGGGUUGUAAACCGCUUUUGUAGGGGACGAAAUUUUUGACGGUACCCUUUCGAAUAAGAGGUUGCUAACUCUGUGCCAGCAGCAGCGGUAAUACAGAGACCUCAAGCGUUAUCCGGAUUUACUGGGCGUAAAGCGUCUGUAGGGGGUUUAUUAAGUUCCAAGUAAAAUUUCAAGGCUCAACUUUGAAUUCGCUUGGAAAACUAAUAAACUGGAGUCUAGCAGAGGUGCAUGGAACUUGUGGUGUAGGAGUGAAAUCCGUUGAUAUCACAAGGAACACCAAAGGCGAAGGCCUUGCACUGGGCUAGCACUGACCCUGAGAGACGAAAGCGUGGGGAGC